Molecule: ribosomal RNA, 441 nt
Filed under: uncultured bacterium
Lineage: Bacteria
Description: partial 16S ribosomal RNA
Rfam family: Bacterial small subunit ribosomal RNA
Source: RNAcentral
CCUACGGGGGACUGCAGUAGGGAAUUUUGCGCAAUGGGGGAAACCCUGACGCAGCAACGCCGCGUGAUCGAUGAAGCCCUUCGGGGUGUAAAGAUCUGUCAGUGGGGACGAAACCUGACGGUACCCACAGAGGAAGCACCGGCUAACUCCGUGCCAGCAGCCGCGGUAAUACGGGGGGUGCAAGCGUUGUCCGGAAUUAUUGGGCGUAAAGAGUUCGUAGGUGGCACGGUAAGUCUGGUGUGAAAGGCGGAAGCUUAACUUCGGUAGCGCACUGGAUACUGGCGAGGUUGAGUGCGGGAGAGGUAAGGGGAAUUCCUGGUGUAGCGGUGAAAUGCGUAGAUAUCAGGAGGAACAUCGGUGGCGAAGGCGCUUUACUGGACCGUAAUUGACGCUGAGGAACGAAAGCCUGGGUAGCAAAUAGGAUUAGAUACCCUUGUAGUC